This 447-nucleotide ribosomal RNA is filed under the name uncultured bacterium. Its description in RNAcentral is "bacterial SSU rRNA". It matches the Rfam family "Bacterial small subunit ribosomal RNA", at positions 329 to 793 of the family's 1533-position model. The record is from RNAcentral.
UUCCAGACUCCUACGGGAGGCAGCAGUGGGGGAUAUUGCACAAUGGGGGGAACCCUGAUGCAGCGACGCCGCGUGGGCGAUGGAGUGCUUCGGCAUGUAAAGCCCUAUCAGCAGGGAAGAAAAUGACGGUACCUGACUAAGAAGCCCCGGCUAAAUACGUGCCAGCAGCCGCGGUAAUACGUAUGGGGCAAGCGUUAUCCGGAUUUACUGGGUGUAAAGGGAGCGUAGGCGGCCUGGCAAGCCUGAUGUGAAAUGCCGGGGCCCAACCCCGGGGCUGCAUUGGGAACUGCCAGGCUGGAGUGCCGGAGAGGCAGGCGGAAUUCCUAGUGUAGCGGUGAAAUGCGUAGAUAUCAGGAGGAACACCGGUGGCGAAGGCGGCCUGCUGGACGGCGACUGACGUUGAGGCUCGAAAGCGUGGGGAGCAAACAGGAUUAGAUACCCCAGUAA